RNAcentral lists this ribosomal RNA (288 nucleotides) under uncultured methanogenic archaeon. Its description in RNAcentral is "partial 16S ribosomal RNA". It matches the Rfam family "Archaeal small subunit ribosomal RNA", at positions 321 to 609 of the family's 1478-position model. Lineage: Archaea; Methanobacteriati; Methanobacteriota. The record is from RNAcentral.
CCCUACGGGGCGCAGCAGGCGCGAAACCUCCACAAUGUGAGAAAUCGCGAUGGGGGAAUCCCAAGUGCCAUUCUUAACGGGAUGGCUUUUCUUAAGUGUAAAGAGCUUUUGGAAUAAGAGCUGGGCAAGACCGGUGCCAGCCGCCGCGGUAACACCGGCAGCUCUAGUGGUAGCUGUUUUUAUUGGGCCUAAAGCGUUCGUAGCCGGUUUAAUAAGUCUCUGGUGAAAUCCUAUAGCUUAACUGUGGGAAUUGCUGGAGAUACUAUUAGACUGAGAUCGGAGAGUAGA